UCAAGCGAACAAGUGCAUGUGGUGGAUGCCUUGGCGAUCACAGGCGAUGAAGGACGCGGUAGCCUGCGAAAAGCUACGGGGAGCUGGCAAACAAGCUUUGAUCCGUAGAUGUCCGAAUGGGGAAACCCACUCCUUUUGGAGUAUCCAUGGCUGAAUACAUAGGCCAUGCGAAGCGAACGCGGUGAACUGAAACAUCUAAGUAACCGCAGGAAAAGAAAUCAACCGAGAUUCCCAAAGUAGUGGCGAGCGAAAUGGGAUGAGCCUUGCACUCUUUAUUUGUAUUGUUAGCCGAACGCUCUGGAAAGUGCGGCCAUAGCGGGUGAUAGCCCCGUAGGCGAAAACAGUAUGAAAGAACUAGGUGUGCGACAAGUAGGGCGGGACACGUGAAAUCCUGUCUGAAGAUGGGGGGACCAUCCUCCAAGGCUAAAUACUCGUGAUCGACCGAUAGUGAACCAGUACCGUGAGGGAAAGGUGAAAAGAACCCCGGGAGGGGAGUGAAAUAGAUCCUGAAACCGCAUGCAUACAAACAGUCGGAGCCUCGAAAGGGGUGACGGCGUACCUUUUGUAUAAUGGGUCAGCGACUUACGUUCAGUAGCAAGCUUAACCGUAUAGGGCAGGCGUAGCGAAAGCGAGUCCGAAUAGGGCGUUCAGUUGCUGGGCGUAGACCCGAAACCAAGUGAUCUAUCCAUGGCCAGGAUGAAGGUGCGGUAACACGUACUGGAGGUCCGAACCCACUAACGUUGAAAAGUUAGGGGAUGAGCUGUGGAUAGGGGUGAAAGGCUAAACAAACUUGGAAAUAGCUGGUUCUCUCCGAAAACUAUUUAGGUAGUGCCUCGUGUCUCACCUUCGGGGGUAGAGCACUGUCAUGGUUGGGGGGUCCAUUGCGGAUUACCCCGCCAUAGCAAACUCCGAAUACCGAAGAGUGCAAUCACGGGAGACAGACAUCGGGUGCUAACGUCCGGUGUCAAGAGGGAAACAACCCAGACCGCCAGCUAAGGUCCCCAAAUAUAGCUAAGUGGGAAACGAAGUGGGAAGGCUAAAACAGUCAGGAGGUUGGCUUAGAAGCAGCCACCCUUUAAAGAAAGCGUAAUAGCUCACUGAUCGAGUCGUCCUGCGCGGAAGAUGUAACGGGGCUAAGCUAUAUACCGAAGCUGCGGAUGCGUGCUUUGCACGCAUGGUAGGAGAGCGUUCCGUAAGCCUGCGAAGGUGCGUUGAAAAGCGUGCUGGAGGUAUCGGAAGUGCGAAUGCUGACAUGAGUAGCGAUAAAGGGGGUGAAAGGCCCCCUCGCCGUAAGCCCAAGGUUUCCUACGCAACGUUCAUCGGCGUAGGGUGAGUCGGCCCCUAAGGCGAGGCAGAAAUGCGUAGCUGAUGGGAAGCAGGUCAAUAUUCCUGCACCAUUGUUAGAUGCGAUGGGGGGACGGAUCGCGGAAGGUUGUCCGGGUGUUGGAAGUCCCGGU
Molecule: ribosomal RNA, 1457 nt
Filed under: Burkholderia lata
Lineage: Bacteria; Pseudomonadati; Pseudomonadota; Betaproteobacteria; Burkholderiales; Burkholderiaceae
Description: 23S ribosomal RNA (partial)
Rfam family: Bacterial large subunit ribosomal RNA
Source: RNAcentral